RNAcentral lists this ribosomal RNA (390 nucleotides) under Blastocystis sp. Its description in RNAcentral is "SSU rRNA". It matches the Rfam family "Eukaryotic small subunit ribosomal RNA", at positions 536 to 936 of the family's 1831-position model. The record is from RNAcentral. Lineage: Eukaryota; Bigyra; Opalinata; Blastocystidae.
AUCGAUAAGCCAUUGGAGGGCAAGUCUGGUGCCAGCAGCCGCGGUAAUUCCAGCUCCAAUAGCGUAUAUUAACGUUGUUGCAGUUAAAAAGCUCGUAGUUGAAGUGUGGGUGAUCGCUGUUGUGAGACUUCGGUCUCUCGAUAGUAAGUCACCCCCUUCCAGUAUCCAGUAGUGGGUAUUCACUUACUUACUACUGUGUGUUGGUCAUUUACUGUGAGAAAAUUAGAGUGUUCAAAGCAGGCGUUUGCUUGAAUAGAUUAGCAUGGAAUAAUAAUUGAAGGCUUUCGUGUUCGAUUUGAUUGGUUUGUUCAUGGAAGCAAGGUUAAAAGGAACAGUUGGGGGUAUUCAUAUUCACUAGUUAGAGGUGAAAUUCUCGGAUUUAUGGAAGAU